Molecule: ribosomal RNA, 492 nt
Filed under: uncultured bacterium
Lineage: Bacteria
Description: partial 16S ribosomal RNA
Rfam family: Bacterial small subunit ribosomal RNA
Source: RNAcentral
AGUGAACGCUGGCGGUAGGCCUAACACAUGCAAGUCGAACGGCAGCACAGUAAGAGCUUGCUCUUACGGGUGGCGAGUGGCGGACGGGUGAGGAAUACAUCGGAAUCUACUUUUUCGUGGGGGAUAACGUAGGGAAACUUAUGCUAAUACCGCAUACGACCUACGGGUGAAGGCAGGGGAUCUUCGGACCUUGCGCGAUUGAAUGAGCCGAUGUCGGAUUAGCUAGUUGGCGGGGUAAAGGCCCACCAAGGCGACGAUCCGUAGCUGGUCUGAGAGGAUGAUCAGCCACACUGGAACUGAGACACGGUCCAGACUCCUACGGGAGGCAGCAGUGGGGAAUAUUGGACAAUGGGCGCAAGCCUGAUCCAGCCAUACCGCGUGGGUGAAGAAGGCCUUCGGGUUGUAAAGCCCUUUUGUUGGGAAAGAAAAGCAGCAGGUUAAUACCCCGCUGUUCUGACGGUACCCAAAGAAUAAGCACCGGCUAACUUCGUG